CUCGACUGUACCACAGUAGAUGCCACGAGAUCGACUGCGGAGAUCUCGGCCGGCUACCAUAGCAAAUGGAUUGAGGAGAUAAGGAAGAGUGAGUAGCCGUGCGGAUAAGAGCAACGACGAAGAGGCGAAAAGAUGCGAGAGUGAGUGCGGAUUAAGAGCAACGACGAAGAGGCGAACAGAUGAGAGAGUGAGUGCGGGGUGCGAGGUGCGAGAGAUCCAAAGCACAGAUGCUUUCGGUUAUUCGUAGAUUAGCUGUAGGACAAAACGUGUGCGGUUUAGAUUGGAUAGGGUACAAGGCUAGCUGCGUUAGGAAAUAAAGUGUGUAAUUGUUCUAGCUGUAUAAGUGGUUUUCUUGGUUCGUUUUGAGUGCGGUAAAUUUAAGUGCUAAUUAUUUGUUGUUUUAGAUAGUGUUGUUCUAAUUUACGGUUCAUGUGGUGACAGCGGAAAGCAGUGCGUUAUUUAGCCUGUGUGGUGCGUCUUUUCUGACUGGUGAACGGUGCUAUUACCUAGCUAUUAGUGUUAAACAUAGCGUAACGUUUACUUUUAAUUUUUUAUUUAGACUAAACAAAAACGAAUACAUAGAAGUAGAUAAGUACGUAACUUUCUCCUUCUCUUCAUAGAAGUAGCAGUGAUAAAGGAGCUAGCAUCAUCGUUGCAAUGGCGGCAGUGAAUGAUCGAGAGAGUCACUAAAAGUCAUUCGAAUCGUCGUACAAUAGUUUACUUAAGUUUUGUAUUGGUUAAUUGUAUGUAGUAGAGAUAGAGAAGCACAACACGGCACGGACUGAAAGCGCGGAAACACAUGACAUACUGGUGAGCGGCUGCUAAAAAGAAUUAGGCUCGAGGUGACAAUGACGGAUGAGGCCGGUAGAGAGGCUGCGCAAUGGCGGAUGAGGCCGGUAGAGCGACUGCGCAAAGAAAGAAGCGGCAUGACCGGUACAACUCGGAAAUCGGUGAUUCGGUGAUUCGGUGAAUCUUGGAAGGCAAAAAUCUCUAUCUGCGGCUCGAAAACUUGGCGAAAUUUAUGUGAAUGCGUAACGCGAUGAGAUUACGGCGCAUACAGAUACGUACAUUUACACCACAAUGAAAUGUCAGGAAUGGGGAAGAGACAGGAGCAUUGCAAAGGGGCGCUGUUAACAUGUUGGUGCACGAUUCAGCUAGACGAAGGGUUGGCCUGUUUAGAUGUGUUAAGAAGGUUAGGCGUUACCUUGAAUCAUGUACACGGAAAGACAUGAAUUGGCCAUCGUAUCGUCAAAGUAACGUAAUGUCGCAGAAGUUGCGUGGAAGCGUUAUUAGCUCAUGCGUUGAUAGCGAUAUCGUCAAUAAGGCAGAGGUGAACCGAUAGGGGCAACGAACGACUUGUUAUUUGGUGCAAAAAAAAAAAAAAAAAAAGGGAAAAGCCAUGUAGCGACCUCGACUGUACCACAGUAGAUGCCACGAGAUCGACUGCGGAGAUCUCGGCCGGCUACCAUAGCAAAUGGAUUGAGGAGAUAAGGAAGAGUGAGUAGCCGUGCGGAUAAGAGCAACGACGAAGAGGCGAAAAGAUGCGAGAGUGAGUGCGGAUUAAGAGCAACGACGAAGAGGCGAACAGAUGAGAGAGUGAGUGCGGGGUGCGAGGUGCGAGAGAUCCAAAGCACAGAUGCUUUCGAUUAUUCGUAGAUUAGCUGUAGGACAAAACGUGUGCGGUUUAGAUUGGAUAGGGUACAAGGCUAGCUGCGUUAGGAAAUAAAGUGUGUAAUUGUUCUAGCUGUA
This is a long non-coding RNA of Anopheles arabiensis, 1749 nucleotides long. RefSeq lists it as uncharacterized. The transcript is spliced from 3 exons. The record is from RefSeq and is a predicted model, not a curated record. Lineage: Eukaryota; Metazoa; Arthropoda; Insecta; Diptera; Culicidae.